AUCCAGAAUUAUAGCCACGUUAAUAACGUUUGUAAAAAACCAAACCGUUUGUAAAUCCGUCAAGAAUUCAGCAAGUUACGAGCAUUUUAGUUGGCGUAUGUCACUCACCUUCCGUCCACAGCAGCAGGGAGCAGCACUAUGGCAGCACUGACCUAAGAUGGCCGCCAAGUGACGACACAGCUGACUCCGCCUUGAGCCAUCUAGCCUUUAUAUACAUAUCUAUGGGUGCAACCCUACUCUGGAGGGAGGGAGUUACCAUGGAAACGAAGCGACAAGAGUUCGGCAAAGCUCCGUGUCUCUAUGGUUUUCUUCACUGUUUUCACAAAUUGCUGGUGUUGUGGGUUUGAAAAAAGUCAAUUAGCAUCUCGACCGUUUUCUGAAGAGGAGUGACAAUAUUACCCCUCUAUAAUAGAAAAGAAGCUCAAGAUUUCAGCAUUUGUAAAGGGAGCUGCUCACAGAGAUGUUGAAUGAAAACUUAGUUAUUUAAAGAAGGUUUUGACAUCCAAACUGCACACUAAAAAUGGUUUGCUCUGCGACAAAUUGCUUGUUAUGUUUGUAGAUUUCUCCAUCCUGAUGGCCAUGCAGCAGAGUUCAAGCAGACCUGUCAGAAAACACCUCUAAGGUGCUAUGAACCAUAUGGCUAGAUACCCAUACAGGUUACAGAAGCUCCAGUAUGGAUCCAGCCUCACUUGUGAAGACUUCAGAUGACUCCAACACUCACAGAGACUAUUGUAAUCCCUGCAACGAACCAUAAGUUUGCAGAUUUGCAACCCACUUUAUAUUUUACAAUAAAUGGUAAUAUUUGAAUGGAUAAUGUUUACUUUUUUCUUUAGUUAAACUUGUACUGAGAUAUUCCCAUUUAUUUGUCCACAAUACUCUUAUGAAUACAUAUAUUACAGACAUUGUAACAAUAUAAGGUGGGUUGAAAAUCUGUAAACUUAACCUAUAAUAAUAAUUGUCUGUUUAACUGAGCAUGACUUGAAACACAUGACUUGCAUUAUCUUAGAGCUAUUGCAUAUGAACAUUACUUUGUUCCUUAAUGAGAUAAACGCUUACCCCUUGUUUCACAGACAAGACUUAAGCUUAGUCCUGGACCAAGACACGCGUUUGAGCUGUCUCAAGAUACAAACAAUCAGUGAGGGCUUGUGACUGCUUUUCUGAGGGGCGCAAAUGAAAAUAUGUGUUCUGAGUGUCAUGUGUAUUGCUCGUUUUUUCAAAAUAUGUGUUUGUUGCGUCAUGUGAACCAUGUGCAUCAUGUCUUUUGUCAAAAUAAGUGCCUGCUGCACACGCGUCAAAAGCGUUUAUGAUAAAAGGGACACUCACAUUCACAAGACACUCCCUUAACCGUAAACUCUGAUUAUGCAUGAGAUUAUGCGAGUAUCUGGCAAAAUCUUUUGUCAUAAACCCUUUAGAGGCAUCUGCAGCAGGCACAUAUUUUGACAAGGCAUGCGAUGCACACAGGUUCACUCGACACGCCAAACACAUAUCUUGAAAUUACAAACUACACACAUGACAGGCUAUGUUGUUACGAACUUUGCAUCAUGCCCACUCAAAAAAGGAGUCACCAGCCGCCACUGCACACCACUAACAUCUUUUUUUUAAAGCAUGUUUAUUAAAGAUGCUUAAACCAGUGGUUCUCAAACUGGGGGCCGUGGCCCUAGGGGACCCUGAGAUUCUUUGUAAUUAAACUUCAGAAAAAUAAACCACUUAACCAACAGCACCACAUUGUAUAAUUGAAUAUGUUUUGUUUAAUAAAAAUGUACAUUUUUUGGAAUGUUUUAUGUCAUACAUUUUCUUUUGGGGGGGGGCAUAAAGGGAUGCACCGUACACAAGGGGGGCCGCAAGCAGAAUAAGUUUGAGAACCACUGGCUUAAACUUCUUAAUUGAACUAAGGCCUAGGCCUGUACAGUAUGUUGCUUAAUGAAUUAAGGCAGUUGAAUCAAAAGAUUAAAUUCGGUAUACACUUUAUGGUGGUUUCCUGAACAGGAGUUAGCUUAAACCAGGACUAGGCCUUAGUUUAAUUAGGAAACUAGUUUUAACAAACAUCCCUUCCUUACUAAAAAUAUUACUUCUGUGCAUUUUCAGGCAAAACAAAAGGCACUGAUGUAUUUUAAGAUAUGUUAAUGCAAGAUGUUUUCAGUUUGGACAGCUUUUAAAUUUAACUGCCCCUUUAUUAUUAAAACAUACUAUGUAAGGGCAAGCAGAUUGGCCAAGAAAAUAAAUGCUUUAAAUUACAGUUUGUUUUACCAUAAUAGAAAAAUUUAUUAAUUAGGUGUAUUCUGAAUAUUAUCUUGUCAUAUUAUUAUCUUAAUGCAUUAAGCUACGUUAAGUGUCUUAUUGAUUAAAACAUUUUAUUAUUGGCAAAUCUGCUUACUGUUACAUGAUUUAUUAAUAAAUUAAUGUUUUAAAUCAGCUGUUCUGCAUUAAGCAAUGUUAAGAAAAUUAGUCCCAGGAAGUCCUGGGUAUGGUUGUGUUCUUACCGAUAUUUUGAGGAUCUUUUCAUUUGUUAAAUAUAUGUAAAAUCACCAUAAAGGGUAAUCAACACUUAUGAUUUCUGAAAUAAAAUAAUAAUGACCCGAUGAGAGGUUUCUUUCCGACAGUGAUGAUAUAUUGUUUCACAAGACUUAUUACAUUUUUAGUUAAACACACUACAAUGAUUUUAAUUACCGUUCAAAGUGUUACAUUUCUUUUGCAUUUUGUUCAGGUUUUUUGCAUGGUUUUAAUUGUUUUUUUAUAAUAUUUAUAAUUAUAUCACUGCUAUCAAAUAGAUGUUUUGUCAUAUUAUGUUGCAUUAAAUUAAAAACCUUGUUGUAGGUCUUGGAAAUUUGAUUACCU
Long non-coding RNA from Paramisgurnus dabryanus, 2835 nucleotides. RefSeq lists it as uncharacterized. The record is from RefSeq and is a predicted model, not a curated record. Lineage: Eukaryota; Metazoa; Chordata; Actinopteri; Cypriniformes; Cobitidae.